GCCUCUGUGGUGUAGUGGUGGUAGCACACGUCCCUGGUAUGGAUUAAACGCGGGUUCGAUUCCCAGCUGAGGCC
This is a non-coding RNA of Parelaphostrongylus tenuis, 74 nucleotides long. The record is from the annotation of a GenBank genome assembly. NCBI's taxonomy places the organism in Eukaryota, Metazoa, Nematoda, Chromadorea, Rhabditida, Metastrongylidae.